RNAcentral lists this ribosomal RNA (112 nucleotides) under uncultured bacterium. RNAcentral's name for it is "partial 16S ribosomal RNA". It matches the Rfam family "Bacterial small subunit ribosomal RNA", at positions 392 to 508 of the family's 1533-position model. The record is from RNAcentral.
CAACGCCGCGUGGGGGAGUGAAGCUUUUCGGAGUGUAAACCCCUUUCGACCCGGAAGAAAGCCCGCAAGGGUUUGACGGUACGGGUAUAAGAAGCCCCGGCUAACUACGUGC